AUUGAACGCUGGCGGCAGGCCUAACACAUGCAAGUCGAGCGGAUGAAGGGAGCUUGCUCCUGGAUUCAGCGGCGGACGGGUGAGUAAUGCCUAGGAAUCUGCCUUGUCGUGGGGGAUAACGUCCGGAAACGGGCGCUAAUACCGCAUACGUCCUGAUGUAGAAAGUGGGGGAUCUUCGGACCUCACGCUAUCAUAUGAGCCUAGGUCGGAUUAGCUAGUUGGUGGGGUAAAGGCCUACCAAGGCGACGAUCCGUAACUGGUCUGAGAGGAUGACCAGUCACACUGGAACUGAGAAACGGUCCAGACUCCUACGGGAGGAAGCAGUGGGGAAUAUUGGACGAUGGGGGAAAGGCUGAUACAGCCAUGCCGCGUGUGUGAAGAAGGUCUUCGGAUUGUAAAGCACUUUAAGUUGGGAGGAAGGACAGUAAGUUAAUACCUUGCUGUUUUGACGUUACCAACAGAAUAAGCACCGGCUAACUUCGUG
RNAcentral lists this ribosomal RNA (484 nucleotides) under uncultured bacterium. RNAcentral's name for it is "partial 16S ribosomal RNA". It matches the Rfam family "Bacterial small subunit ribosomal RNA", at positions 30 to 507 of the family's 1533-position model. The record is from RNAcentral.